Molecule: ribosomal RNA, 711 nt
Filed under: uncultured bacterium
Lineage: Bacteria
Description: bacterial SSU rRNA
Rfam family: Bacterial small subunit ribosomal RNA
Source: RNAcentral
GACGCUGAGGCUCGAAAGCGUGGGUAGCGAACAGGAUUAGAUACCCUGGUAGUCCACGCCGUAAACGAUGAGUGCUAGGUGUUAGGCCCUUUCCGGGGCUUAGUGCCGGAGCUAACGCAAUAAGCACUCCGCCUGGGGAGUACGACCGCAAGGUUGAAACUCAAAGGAAUUGACGGGGGCCCGCACAAGCGGUGGAGCAUGUGGUUUAAUUCGAAGCAACGCGAAGAACCUUACCAGGUCUUGACAUCCCGAUGCUAUUCUUAGAGAUAGGAANNUACUUCGGUACAUCGGAGACAGGUGGUGCAUGGUUGUCGUCAGCUCGUGUCGUGAGAUGUUGGGUUAAGUCCCGCAACGAGCGCAACCCUUAUUGUUAGUUGCCAUCAUUAAGUUGGGCACUCUAGCGAGACUGCCGGUAAUAAACCGGAGGAAGGUGGGGAUGACGUCAAAUCAUCAUGCCCCUUAUGACCUGGGCUACACACGUGCUACAAUGGUCGGUACAACGAGUUGCGAGCCGGUGACGGCAAGCUAAUCUCUGAAAGCCGAUCUCAGUUCGGAUUGGAGGCUGCAACUCGCCUCCAUGAAGUCGGAAUCGCUAGUAAUCGCGGAUCAGCACGCCGCGGUGAAUACGUUCCCGGGCCUUGUACACACCGCCCGUCACACCACGAGAGUUUGUAACACCCGAAGUCGGUGAGGUANCCUUUUAGGGGCCAG